GAUGAAGAACGCAGCGAAAUGCGAUACUUGGUGUGAAUUGCAGAAUCCCGUGAACCAUCGAGUCUUUGAACGCAAGUUGCGCCUCAAGCCAUUAGGUUGAGGGCACGUCUGCCUGGGCGUCACAUAUCGUUGCCUGAUGCCAGUUUCCUCGUGAUUGGUGACUGUGCAGGGCGAAUGAUGGCUUCCCGUGAGCAUUGUUGCCUCAUGGUUGGUUGAAAAUUGAGUCCUUGGUAGGGAGCGCCGUGAUAGAUGGUGGUUGAGUGACGAACGAGACCCAAUCAUGUGAGACCCCUACCGAAUUUGGCCUUCAUGACCCACAUGCGUCUUUGGAACGCUCAUGACGAGACCUCAGGUCAGGCGGGGCUACCCGCUGAGUUUAAGCAUAGCAAUAAGCGGAGGA
Molecule: unclassified non-coding RNA, 400 nt
Filed under: soil metagenome
Description: partial contains 5.8S ribosomal RNA, internal transcribed spacer 2, and large subunit ribosomal RNA
Rfam family: 5.8S ribosomal RNA (bases 1-122)
Source: RNAcentral